Molecule: ribosomal RNA, 468 nt
Filed under: uncultured bacterium
Lineage: Bacteria
Description: partial 16S ribosomal RNA
Rfam family: Bacterial small subunit ribosomal RNA
Source: RNAcentral
GACGAACGCUGGCGGCGUGCUUAACACAUGCAAGUCGAACGGAAAGGCCCUGCUUUUGUGGGGUGCUCGAGUGGCGAACGGGUGAGUAACACGUGAGUAACCUGCCCUUGACUUUGGGAUAACUUCAGGAAACUGGGGCUAAUACCGGAUAGGAGCUCCUGCUGCAUGGUGGGGGUUGGAAAGUUUCGGCGGUUGGGGAUGGACUCGCGGCUUAUCAGCUUGUUGGUGGGGUAGUGGCUUACCAAGGCUUUGACGGGUAGCCGGCCUGAGAGGGUGACCGGACACAUUGGGACGGGGAUGCGGCCCAGACUCCUACGGGAGGGAGCAGUGGGGAAUGGUGCACUAUGGGCGGAAGCCUGAUGCAGCAACGCCGCGUGCGGGAUGACGGCCUUCGGUUUGUAUACCGCUUUCGCCUGUGACGAAGCGUGAGUGACGGUAAUGGGUAAAGAAGCACCGGCUAACUACGUG